Molecule: ribosomal RNA, 312 nt
Filed under: uncultured Glomeromycotina
Lineage: Eukaryota; Fungi; Glomeromycota
Description: LSU rRNA
Source: RNAcentral
UUGAAAGGGAAACGAUUGAAGUCAGUCAUGCUGGUGGGAAUCAACUUAGGGGAAACUCUGGGUGCACUUCUUCGCUUGGCAGGUCAACGUCGAUUUUGAAUGUCAUAAAAUAAUUGGGGGAAGGUAGCUCCUUCGGGAGUGUUAUAGCCCUUGAUAGAUGUGAUGUUUGAGGUCGAGGAUUGCAACGGAUACCCUUUGGGGCUAGCUGCCUGAUCUCUAAUUGGUGUUGGGUUACGGAUAGCAUGCUGACCGUGAUCUAAUUACUGGUUAAAAGGUUAGAGUAUGCAUAAAUUCGUUAAGGAUGUUGACGUA